GGGGGGAGCACAGGCUCCUGGGCUGUGUCCCCCGCACCCUGGGCUCCGGGGCCUGUGCUGCUGGAAUCUUGCUCCCGGGGUCACGCAGCCAGUGACCCCUC
RNAcentral lists this microRNA precursor (101 nucleotides) under Canis lupus familiaris (dog). RNAcentral describes it as "mir-8799 microRNA precursor family". It matches the Rfam family "mir-8799 microRNA precursor family". RNAcentral also lists the same sequence under 1 other name. The record is from Rfam by way of RNAcentral. Lineage: Eukaryota; Metazoa; Chordata; Mammalia; Carnivora; Canidae.